RNAcentral lists this transfer RNA (72 nucleotides) under Melampsora larici-populina 98AG31. Its description in RNAcentral is "tRNA-Thr (AGT) (tRNA-Thr-AGT-5-1)". It matches the Rfam family "tRNA". From Rfam's summary of the family: Transfer RNA (tRNA) molecules are approximately 80 nucleotides in length. Their secondary structure includes four short double-helical elements and three loops (D, anti-codon, and T loops). The record is from RNAcentral. Lineage: Eukaryota; Fungi; Basidiomycota; Pucciniomycetes; Pucciniales; Melampsoraceae.
GCGUCUGUAGCCUAGUGGUAAAGGCAGCACUCUAGUACACUGAGGUCAUGGGUUCGAAUCCCAUCAGACACA